UUCACUACAAAGCAUCUUGCUGAACCAGAGCAGACCAAUGCACCCAGAAAGACCAAUGCCCAAAAGGGCAUCUCAAAAGUCCUCUGUUCACCAAGAAGUGAUUUGAGCACUUCAAAGCCUCCAAGUCAUCAUUCUACUUCCACAUUCCCAAAGUCAUUUAAGGGAAGAGAAAAAAAAGCACUCCCCAUCAUCCCUACCAAACUGAUCCCUAUCAUUGUAACAGAAGAUAAGCCAAACAAAUAAAGCAGAAAAAAAGAAAGAAGUAAUUUGGGGCAAUCAAUGUCUCAGAGCAAGAGGACUCCUCUGAUGAUUCCUCCAUAUGUGCAGAAGAGGACAAAAGAGUGGGCCCAAUAUGAACUUCCCCUGGCUCUGAGGUGACAAUGGAGUGCAUCAUUGAAGAAAAACCUUUCUCAAGGAUAUCCAAGCUGAGCAAGAAGAAGGCCUACAAAAACUGACAUUGGCAAUCUUUGUAAAACAAAAAGCGUGUGAGAGACCCUUUGAAAUGCCAAAGGAUGGGGGAAUCAUCAUUGAAGGCAAUGAUGUGUUGAAUAAUUUGACCUAAGUUGCAUCUGCUUUUACUAUCCUCUUUGGGCUAAUGUACUGUCUGAACCUCAGCUACCCUCGCAAUCUCGAAUUCACCUUCUGUCACGAUUUACCCUCGCGCUAAUGCUGGAGCAGGCGGCUCAGUUCUGUGUUUGUCAGUGACACUGACUUUGUUUACUGUCUACAUGUGCAUUUGUUAUGGUUUAUGUAGUGUCUCAGCCCCUGUAUUGUUAUUGGUUGUUUCCCAUAUGUGUCAUCAUUAGUCUCAGCUGUUUUGAGGCAGAUAAACCUGCCCUGCCGUUCACCACCUAUUAGGUAAAUAGGUGGUAUAGAGGGUGGCCCCCACACCAGAGCUCCAACCUGAGACCCACGAGGUGGUCUCACCUGCAGAGCUCCAGUCAGAGGUCAAUGUGGCAACCUCAGCUCCAGAGCCCCAGUUGGAGGUCAACAUGACUCCUCAGAGCUCCAGCACGAGACCCAUGAGGUGGUCUCAUCUCCAGAGCUCCAGCAUAAAGUCAAGUUCCUGCUAGAGGUCAAUGAGAUGGCCUCCCAAGCCAUGUUUCUGUCCAAGGUCGACGAGAUGGCCUCAAAAGUCAUGUUCCUGUCCGAGGUUGCUGACACGGACAACUAAGUCCUGCUCAUGCCCGAGUCUUGUGACACAGCCAACCGAGUUCAGCCUGCAGAGUCGAUGGAAAAUGACACUCAGUCUCUCAGCAUGACUGAGGAUGCCGCUCAGCAUCCCUAUACAGCUGAGAACGUUUCUCCGCCUCCCGUUGCAGCCUGCUUUGCUUUCCUACUCUGCUUCGAACGUCACUACAACAGGCUUCUCUGAGGACGUCGCUCUGCCAUCCUACUCUGCUGAAGACCUUGCUCUGCCAUCCUGCUCAACUGAGGAUGCCACUCAGCAUCCUUCCUCAGCUGAGGACGCUGUUCAGUCUCCCUGUUCAACUGAAGACAUUUUGCCCAGAGGGCCAGGACCGCUAGGGGAGGGAAGUGUUUUCUGGUGCUACAGGAGUAGGGCCUUUGGGGGACUUCUGUCACGAUUUCCCCUUGUGCUAGCGCUGGAGCUUGUGGUGUGUGUCCGGGUUUGUUUACUGUCUACACUAACCUCCAUUACGUGACACCUUUUAGAUGAUCCAAAAGAUGUUUAUGGGCUUAGAGGGACAGAAAAUUCUAGAAAGUUGCAGAAUCUGUAUAUUAGGUUGCUCCAAACUAACUAAGUGUUUGAGUGGGAAAACAAUCAGACCCCUUGAAUUUUUUUCCAUUGUCACUUUUUAUUUUUCAACCUUAUCACUAAAUAUUUGUUUUAAUUAUAUUUUUUUAUUUUGCAGAAAUAUUUUUUAGUUACCAGAGUUACAAAAGUUACCAAAUAAAUGAGAGAUACAUGUGACUCUCAUUGUAUUAGUCUUUUAUUUUAAAUUUAGACUAGAUUAUUGUAAUUCCUUACUGUCUGGAUGUUCCAGUAGGAGCAUAAACAAACUCCAGUUAGUCCAGAAUGCAGCUGCUGGAGUCCUAACUAGAACGAGAAGAUACGACCACAUCACCCCGAUCUUAUCCACACUGCAUUGGCUCCCAGUGAAAUCUCGCAUUGAUUAUAAAAUACUAUUAUUAACUUAUAAAGCACUAAAUGGUCUCACGCCACAGUAUCUAAGCGACGUUUUGGUUUUCUAUGAUAUCCACCAUGCCUACUUAGAUCAAAAGAUGCAGGCUAUUUGACGGUACCUCGAAUAGCGAAGGCUACAGCAGGGGGAAGAGCUUUCUCUUAUAGAGCCCCUACUGUUAUGGAACAGUCUUCCAAUUAGUGUUUGGGACUCAGACAAAGUCUCAGUGUAGACUUAGGCUUAAACCGUAUUUGUUUACUCAAGCCUACCAUGAAUAGACGUUCUGUUACACUAAGCACAGUCCUAAUAAUCUCUUCUCUCCCUCUCUCCUUCUGUCAAGCCACACACGAUUUUAUGGAGAUACUAGAGAUCCUGAUCCUUUCUGCUCUCCAGACAUGCCUGAUCUGUUUCGGAUGCCUUACAUCUGGAUGGAGCUCUCAUCUACUCCAAUUCCAGACUGCUGGGACUAUGGUUGCUUCUAAGGCCAAACAGACUUCAUAUAAAACCAUAAUGAACUUUUUACAAUAUCCGUUGCUACCCAGAUGAGGAUGGUUUCCCUUCUGAUUCUGAUUCCUCUCAAGGUUUCUUCCUCUUAACAUCUUAGGGAGUUUUCCAUUGCCACCGUCGCCACCAGCUUGCUCAGUUGGGAUAAAUUCGCACAUUUAAAAUCUGUAUACCAUGUUUAUAUGUUUCUGUAAAGCUGGUUUGAGACAAUGUCUAUUGUUAUGCAAAUAAAAUUGAAUUGAAUUGAAUUAAAGCCAAAUAUGUAUGAUGUUACUUUGAAUAGAUAUUUUUAUUUAAACUAACUUUCUUUUACCACAAUAAAUAGAUGAUAUUUUG
Long non-coding RNA from Ictalurus punctatus (channel catfish), 2984 nucleotides. Lineage: Eukaryota; Metazoa; Chordata; Actinopteri; Siluriformes; Ictaluridae. The record is from Ensembl.